AGCUUAUCAGCAAUGCCUCCGAUGUAAGGCUCUCUCCUCUCUUUCUCUCUCUGUCGAUCUUUGAUUUAUUUUCGUUUAUAUGCUUCUUAUUCCGUUAUAGAUUUUAGCAGCGAUGAAUACGAUUAUCUGUUUGUUUUUCUUACUUAAAAUUGAAUAGACUUUUUAUCGAUUGAAGGUGUUUUUAGUGUUUGGUUCCUGAGAUUUAUUUUCUUUAUCAGUAUCCGUGAAUGUGUUGUGUCUGUUCUUUCGAUUUUUCUAUGCAUAUGCUGAUGAGUUCUUUAAGUUGUCCUGAAAUGCCGGAAUUUCAUUUGCUGGACAUUUCACAUAAUUUAAAAAAAAAUAAAGCAAAUAAUAUGCUAUUUUUUGUGGAUUCUAAUUUAGUUUUAUGAUUAUUAUGUUAGCUUUCGUUUUAAUGUUAUGAGUUGGGGUUUUCAAUGUGUAAUCUGAAGCUAGUUAGAGUUAUCUAUUAUUAUCUUUGAGCUGUGAAUGGACAAUUUUCUUAUAUAUAUAUUUGACUUGAUUUAAAGUACUUUGGAAUAUUUCUUUAACCUCCAUGUUGAGGGUUAUGCCAUUUCUUUAUCCUUUUGGUCACUCAUUUGUUUAUUGCAGUUAUGUGAAUGUCAUUUAAUAAUGCUUUUCCUUUAUGUUUAUCUUGUUUGUAGAUAUAAAUAUAAUUGUGUUGGUGGAUUUUGAAGGUUGAAGUCUGUUUGGUUGAUUGAUCCCCUUAUUAAUAUUUAGUUAUGUGAAUACGUUAUGCUUAUUUGUAUUUUUGCUCUUUUAUUUCAGGCUCUGGACAAAAUCAGAUUUGAG
Molecule: unclassified non-coding RNA, 810 nt
Filed under: Hevea brasiliensis (rubber tree)
Lineage: Eukaryota; Viridiplantae; Streptophyta; Magnoliopsida; Malpighiales; Euphorbiaceae
Source: RNAcentral